This 1737-nucleotide ribosomal RNA is filed under the name Salmonella enterica subsp. enterica serovar Muenchen. RNAcentral's name for it is "bacterial LSU rRNA". It matches the Rfam family "Bacterial large subunit ribosomal RNA", at positions 1223 to 2925 of the family's 2925-position model. Lineage: Bacteria; Pseudomonadati; Pseudomonadota; Gammaproteobacteria; Enterobacterales; Enterobacteriaceae. RNAcentral also lists the same sequence under 1 other name. The record is from RNAcentral.
GUUGGGUAGGGGAGCGUUCUGUAAGCCUGUGAAGGUGGCCUGUGAGGGUUGCUGGAGGUAUCAGAAGUGCGAAUGCUGACAUAAGUAACGAUAAAGCGGGUGAAAAGCCCGCUCGCCGGAAGACCAAGGGUUCCUGUCCAACGUUAAUCGGGGCAGGGUGAGUCGACCCCUAAGGCGAGGCCGAAAGGCGUAGUCGAUGGGAAACGGGUUAAUAUUCCCGUACUUGGUGUUACUGCGAAGGGGGGACGGAGAAGGCUAUGUUGGCCGGGCGACGGUUGUCCCGGUUUAAGCGUGUAGGUGUGUGUUCCAGGUAAAUCCGGUUCACUUUAACACUGAGGCGUGACGACGAGGCACUACGGUGCUGAAGCAACAAAUGCCCUGCUUCCAGGAAAAGCCUCUAAGCAUCAGGUAACAUCAAAUCGUACCCCAAACCGACACAGGUGGUCAGGUAGAGAAUACCAAGGCGCUUGAGAGAACUCGGGUGAAGGAACUAGGCAAAAUGGUGCCGUAACUUCGGGAGAAGGCACGCUGACACGUAGGUGAAGUGAUUUACUCAUGGAGCUGAAGUCAGUCGAAGAUACCAGCUGGCUGCAACUGUUUAUUAAAAACACAGCACUGUGCAAACACGAAAGUGGACGUAUACGGUGUGACGCCUGCCCGGUGCCGGAAGGUUAAUUGAUGGGGUCAGCGCAAGCGAAGCUCCUGAUCGAAGCCCCGGUAAACGGCGGCCGUAACUAUAACGGUCCUAAGGUAGCGAAAUUCCUUGUCGGGUAAGUUCCGACCUGCACGAAUGGCGUAAUGAUGGCCAGGCUGUCUCCACCCGAGACUCAGUGAAAUUGAACUCGCUGUGAAGAUGCAGUGUACCCGCGGCAAGACGGAAAGACCCCGUGAACCUUUACUAUAGCUUGACACUGAACAUUGAGCCUUGAUGUGUAGGAUAGGUGGGAGGCUUUGAAGCGUGGACGCCAGUCUGCGUGGAGCCGACCUUGAAAUACCACCCUUUAAUGUUUGAUGUUCUAACGUGGACCCGUAAUCCGGGUUGCGGACAGUGUCUGGUGGGUAGUUUGACUGGGGCGGUCUCCUCCUAAAGAGUAACGGAGGAGCACGAAGGUUGGCUAAUCCUGGUCGGACAUCAGGAGGUUAGUGCAAUGGCAUAAGCCAGCUUGACUGCGAGCGUGACGGCGCGAGCAGGUGCGAAAGCAGGUCAUAGUGAUCCGGUGGUUCUGAAUGGAAGGGCCAUCGCUCAACGGAUAAAAGGUACUCCGGGGAUAACAGGCUGAUACCGCCCAAGAGUUCAUAUCGACGGCGGUGUUUGGCACCUCGAUGUCGGCUCAUCACAUCCUGGGGCUGAAGUAGGUCCCAAGGGUAUGGCUGUUCGCCAUUUAAAGUGGUACGCGAGCUGGGUUUAGAACGUCGUGAGACAGUUCGGUCCCUAUCUGCCGUGGGCGCUGGAGAACUGAGGGGGGCUGCUCCUAGUACGAGAGGACCGGAGUGGACGCAUCACUGGUGUUCGGGUUGUCAUGCCAAUGGCACUGCCCGGUAGCUAAAUGCGGAAGAGAUAAGUGCUGAAAGCAUCUAAGCACGAAACUUGCCCCGAGAUGAGUUCUCCCUGAGACUUAGAGUCUCCUGAAGGAACGUUGAAGACGACGACGUUGAUAGGCCGGGUGUGUAAGCGCAGCGAUGCGUUGAGCUAACCGGUACUAAUGAACCGUGAGGCUUAACCUUACAACGCCGAAG